CAACUUGGAGUGAUAGUAAACAACACUGCAUGGAUCUAGGGGGGCAUUUGGUGAUUAUUGACAGUGAGGAGGAACAGCUAUUUAUCUCAAGAUUAAUGGAGUUGAGUGCAUGGAUUGGUCUGACUGAUGUGGAGGGAACAUGGAAAUGGACAGAUGGCAAAUUGCUGAAAACUGGGUACUGGAGGAAGGGAGAGCCAAAUAACUCUCAUGGAAAUGAGCACUGUGUAGAGAUUGUCGAGCAGCCUAACAUCCAAAAUAACUGGAAUGACAACAUUUGUACUGAAAAACGCCCUUACAUUUGUGAACAAUCACAAUAGCAUGCAAGCGCGCGCUCACACACACAACCCCAAGGUGUCAGUUUGCUCCAUAGGGCAGCACAUCCGCAGACCAGUCAGGGUGCC
Long non-coding RNA from Sardina pilchardus (European sardine), 401 nucleotides. RefSeq lists it as uncharacterized. Lineage: Eukaryota; Metazoa; Chordata; Actinopteri; Clupeiformes; Clupeidae. The record is from RefSeq and is a predicted model, not a curated record. The transcript is spliced from 3 exons.